ACAUCCGAAAGGUCCACGGGCGCGCAUUUCAUUCAAAGGGAAAUCAAAAUGAGAAGAGAUCCACCGCACCAACCCCAAAACCCAAACCAACCCAAGCGCUCCCUCGCCCGCACGCUGUCUUUCUUCCUCCUCUCCCCACGACUCACCCAACUCGCCGCCGGCGACCUCCUGCCCUCAGCCUCCGCCCCCUACCACACCGACGGCGCCCCCCACCCUCUCCUUCUUCCCCAAGCCGCCGCGUCAAGCCUCUCCUCGCGCCCGAAACCCUAGCCCGCGGCGCGGCCAUGGCGACCGAGCUCUGGAUCCGCAGGCUCGAGGUGCGGCGCUGGGUCAGGAUGCGCCGGCCACGAGGCCAGAAGGCUGUCGGUUCCGAGAACUGGGCGGCGCACCCUGCAGCUCGGUCGACCUCCAAUGGAGAAGGCCCCGGAUCUGUACUCCCCUUCUUCCGCGACCAGCCUCGACGCCCGCCUUCUUCCCAGGAGCGGCGGCCACGACGGCCCGUCGCUCUCGUCUUCUCCCGCCGCUGCGGAGGACGAGCCACGACGAGCAGCAGAGGAGGCGUGCCGCUGCUACCACGACGCGACGUCCCAUGCUCUUGUCCUCUCCCGACGCGGCAGAGGACGAGAUGCGGCGAGCUGCAGAGGAGGCGUGUCGUGUGGCUGGACCAAGGUAUUGCUCUGUAGGGCGGGGCUUGGCCAUCUUCUUCGCCCAGCACCACCACCACCACCGUCAGAUGCUGUGAACGCGAGCAGCUGCAGCUGCAGGCGCCGUACGACCACGACCAGAAGCACCAUCAUCUCUGGCAUCGGGCGCGCUACGAGGACGGCCCGUCUCUGCUUCAUGUCACGCCCUGCUCGUGUCCAUGGCGGGUGCGUGCGCGGUGGCCGCGCCAUCCCGGGCAACAGUCUCCGGCCGCGGCGCAGCCUUGCCGCCGGGGCGCGGCUUCCGCGUGAGCUGCCGGCGCUCGGCGAGGAGACGCGUCGGCGGUCGCGCUCGCGUGUCCCGCGACACCAACGGUGCUGAGGCUGAGCCGGACAGCAAGGGUCCAAUCCCGCAGGAUGACUCGGGCUACCUCCUGACGCUGGGGCUCGGGUCCGGCGGCGGCGCGGCGACCGUGAAGUAUGACAGCAUGCUCCAACCAGUCAUCUCCGGCGUGCUCACGCAUCUGCACGACCAGAAGCACAAUCAUGUUUUACUUCGGUGGUAAAGAGACAUCCUUUCCUUCCUCUCUUUCAUCUUGCAACUCUUUAUUUCCCUCCUGGGUUUGGUUUGGUCUGGGGUUUGCUCGGAUCCAUGUAAUACAGUAGUUUGGAGGUGGUUUCAGUUGACUGGGACACUCAUGGAUGGAAAAGAGCAGUGGCGUAGCUAGGAAUUUAGAUCAGGGCGGAGGCUGUGGCGGUGAAUAUACUACAAUUUCUUCAAUUACUCUCCUGCACUUGUGUUAGGUACCAGGUCGAUCUAUUACAGAUACAAGGCUCAAAUUCGAAUUACACUCAGCUUCUCGCUGUUCUUGGGAAAGAAGGAAGGUAGGUGGGGAAAGCAGAGGAGGGGAGAGCCGCCGUUCGUUUUGAUCCUUCUGGAUGUGUCUUCUUUUGCGCGUGAGGGGAUAAGUAGGCGCCGGUGCGACAUGGACUCAGCGGUCCCAUUCCGGCCCGAUGAAUCUCCUGUUGGGCUGCGCUAUCCUCUUGGGCCUGCUGCUGAUUCGCCUUGCCGCCAGGCCGUCGUUGGUGACAUGGCUCGCUGCCGUGGCAGCCCCCUGGGUCUUGGCUGUCAAGGCAGGUCAUGCGCUGACAACUUGCUCUGGAGUUUGCUUUGAAAAUAAAUGAAAAAGGAGCAACAACUUCUUUUUUGCAUGUUUCAGAAAAAGAGAUGCAAUGUCUUCAGUCCUCAUUUUGUGUGACAAUAAAAAGUUUAUGAGUUUCAGUUUAUCAAUUAUGGAACGAACCAUAAUAAUCUGUCAUUUCAAUUUAUCAAUUCCAUAAUUUCGUGCCAACAUUAAUAGCGGGGAAUGGUCGACCAUUUUAUGUUUCUUGGCUUAACCCGUUAUAAGGCCCAGUUCUUUUGAGCAGAUUGUGGAGAAUUUUGGUCUGGAAAAUCUGGAGCCAAAAGAACUCGUUUUGACUUCCAAAAUCUGGAGAGGAUUCUCUAGAAUCCUAGUGCAAUCCAAAAGCACCCAAAAAGCUUGAUUUUCCCAGAAUCCUGAGAUUCUGGCAAGUCCCACCAAUGAAAACGCUUCAAAAUAGAAGAGUACCCCUAUCCCAUCGCGAAAUUACACCAGGAAUGCCGCUGCCCAUCCAUGCGUUGGACCAGAGGAAAUGAGCGAGCGGCCGCUCGACCCCUGUUUGCAUUGGGGGAAAAAGGAGUCCCCAGACGCAGCGACGGCUCGGGUUGCCGCACUGCCGCCGGACCAACCUCGUCGGUUAGGCCCUUGCCGCCGCCGCCCGCCUGGCCCUUGCCGCCGCCGGCCAGGUUCCCGCCGCCGCCGCCCGCCUUAUCUCCCUCUGCCGCCCCUCUUCCUUCGCUGCUCGUCCUCCCCUCCGUCGUGUCUUCGCCAACAUCGACGGCCACUGGCGCUGCACCUCGACGGCCACAAGCAGCCCACGCGAGGUGCAGACCACACCCACGGUGAGGCAUCCUCUUUCCCCAUCUCGUUGUUCUUCUUUUUUCUUAUGCUAUGGAUUUGUUAGAUAGAUGGAUGGAUUGAUUGCUGAUGCUGUUAGAUGGAUGGUGCUAAUUUUUUGCACCCAGAUUGCUGAUGCUGUUAGAUGGAUGGAUGGAUUUGUUAGAUAGAUGGAUGGAUGGAUUGAUUGUUGAAUACAGCUUGUUUGCCUAUUUACAAAAAAUGAAGAACUAGAAAGAGAUAUCCACAAGCAUAAUUUUCACUAAUAAUUCUAGUGUUGGGCACUUGGGUAUACAUUUCUUUAUUUUGGUUUGGAGCCGUUCAACAAUAUGGCAGUAUGAAUAUCAUUUUCUAAUGUAUUGGUAUGUGAAUUCCUAGUACAUGACACUAUUUUCUAUGAUGAUGCUAAUUUAAGAUGGAGAAAGUCAAAGAACCCAAAGCAAAUUGGGACAGUGUUGCUCAUACAAUUUUUAUGAAUGCGUGCGUAGAGGAGGUUCGAGCAAAUAACCGCAAUGGUGGUUAUUUGUCGGACAUAGGACAAGCUAAUUUGCAUAAAAAGUUCAACGAACGCUCUGGAAGAAACUAUUCGACCCGGCAAAUAAAAAAUAGGUGGGGUGUAUGUAGAAGCGAGUACAACACAUGGAAGACAUUGAUCCAACAAGCAUCUGGCUUAGGAAGAGAUGCGCAUAUACACACUAUUGCAGCUACAAAUGAGUGGUGGGCAUUGGAGAUAAAGGCACAUCCAGAAGCUGCCAAGUUUCGCUAUGCUCCACUAGCGGAGGAGGAAAAAAUGUCAGAGGUUUUCGAUACUACUUGUGUCACAGAUGAGCAUGCGAGGGUGCCAACUCCCUCAUAUCAAGGUGAUCCCUCUCAAAUCAGUUUGGAGGAUGACUCAGGGUGUGAUAGUCAUGAAGGGCAAGUUACCCCUGUUCAAAAUCGAGCCAAGGGUGGGAAGAAGAGGGCGUGUCCUUAUUCGCCAAGUCCAAAGAUGAAUGACAAGUGAGCAAGUGAGAAUGCUAAAAAUGAGGCUUUUGUACGCAUGGUGGACAUCUUUGGUGCAAGAGACAAGAGGGAUGCAGAGGAGAGGGCAAGGGAGAAGAGGGAUGAAGAGGAAAGGGCAAGGGAGAAGAGGGAUGCAGAGAAGAGGGAUGUAGAGGAGAGUGUGGAUCCAACAAGACAAGAGAUUAAACAAAUGAUGGCCAUGGUGGAAGCGGAUGGUGCAAAACCAGGAAGUGAUGAGCAUUUCUAUGCUACAUUUCAUUUCAUGGAAAAGAAAUAUCGUGAUGUUUUCUCCACUUUCACGGCUCAUGAAUCUGUUGUAAGGCUUGGAUGGAUAAAGAGGAUGUGGGAGCUCAAUAAUAAGUAGAACAUCUAUGUUUUAAUUGCUUUCUACCAGACUAUUUACUUGUAAUGUUGUGAGCUAAGCUACUUGCUUUGGAGGUGUACUUUUGUGAACUAAGCUAUUUGCUUUGGAGAUGUAUUGUUAUCUGAACUGUGUUGUAUCUAA
Molecule: non-coding RNA, 4127 nt
Organism: Aegilops tauschii subsp. strangulata
Lineage: Eukaryota; Viridiplantae; Streptophyta; Magnoliopsida; Poales; Poaceae
Source: RefSeq, a predicted model, not a curated record